Molecule: ribosomal RNA, 328 nt
Filed under: uncultured Chitinophaga sp.
Lineage: Bacteria; Pseudomonadati; Bacteroidota; Chitinophagia; Chitinophagales; Chitinophagaceae
Description: bacterial SSU rRNA
Rfam family: Bacterial small subunit ribosomal RNA
Source: RNAcentral
UGCGCAGGCGGAUAUGUAAGUCAGUGGUGAAAUCUCCGGGCUUAACCCGGAAAUUGCCGUUGAUACUAUAUAUCUUGAAUGCUGUGGAGGUAAGCAGAAUAUGUCAUGUAGCGGUGAAAUGCUUAGAGAUGACAUAGAAUACCUAUUGCGAAGGCAGCUUACUACGCAGAUAUUGACGCUCAUGCACGAAAGCGUGGGGAUCAAACAGGAUUAGAUACCCUGGUAGUCCACGCCCUAAACGAUGAUUACUCGACAUACGCGAUACACUGUGUGUGUCUGAGCGAAAGCAUUAAGUAAUCCACCUGGGAAGUACGAUCGCAAGAUUGAA